UGGCUAUCUGGUCGAUCCCCAAACUCGCCGACCGGGUGCAGUCUGUGCUGAAUGCGGGGGCGUCGAUUCGCGCGAUUGCCUCGGUGGUGCAGGUGGAGGCCACGUCUUAUGAUGUGUUGGUCGAUCACGCCGAUGUGGGCGCUGGUUGGGCGACCGAGAGCGGCGCGCAGGCCGAGACGGACACGCCCCAGAUCGACCGGAUCACCGUGCCGCUGCAUGAGCUGAGCGCGCUGCCCAAGGCGAGCCAACGUCUGCUAGAUGACAGCGCCUUUGAUAUCGAAGGUUGGCUGGCGGGGCGUAUCGCCGACAAAUUUGCACGGGCCGAGGCGGCGGCCUUCGUCAGCGGUGACGGCAUCGACAAGCCUACAGGUUUUCUGAGCCACCCUGCGGUGGACAACGACAUCUGGACCUGGGGCAAUCUGGGCUAUGUCCCCAGCGGCACCAACGCCAACCCCGAGGCCGAUGCGAUUAUCGAAUUGGUGUACACCCUUGGCGCGGCCUACCGCAAGAACGCGGUCUUCGUGAUGAACUCCAAGACCACGGCCAAGGUGCGCAAAUUGAAGGACACCGAUGGGCGGUUCCUGUGGUCGGACGGUCUGGCGGCGGGGGAGCCUGCGCGGCUCAUGGGCUAUCCGGUGCUGGUGGCCGAGGACAUGCCCGAUCCGGCGACCGAUGCGAUGGCCAUCGCCUUUGGCGACUUCUCGGCAGGCUACACCGUGGCCGAGCGCCCCGAUCUGCGGAUCCUGCGCGAUCCGUUCAGUGCAAAACCGCAUGUCCUGUUCUA
This 784-nucleotide ribosomal RNA is filed under the name uncultured Rhodobacterales bacterium. RNAcentral's name for it is "partial 16S ribosomal RNA". The record is from RNAcentral. Lineage: Bacteria; Pseudomonadati; Pseudomonadota; Alphaproteobacteria; Rhodobacterales.